UAGGGAAUCUUCGGCAAUGGGGGAAACCCUGACCGAGCAACGCCGCGUGAGUGAAGAAGGUUUUCGGAUCGUAAAGCUCUGUUGUUAAGGAAGAACGAGUGUGAGAAUGGAAAGUUCAUGCUGUGACGGUACUUAACCAGAAAGGGACGGCUAACUACGUGCCAGCAGCCGCGGUAAUACGUAGGUCCCGAGCGUUGUCCGGAUUUAUUGGGCGUAAAGCGAGCGCAGGCGGUUAGAAAAGUCUGAAGUGAAAGGCAGUGGCUCAACCAUUGUAGGCUUUGGAAACUGUUUAACUUGAGUGCAGAAGGGGGGGGUGGAAUUCCAUGUGUAGCGGUGAAAUGCGUAGAUAUAUGGAGGAACACCGGUGGCGAAAGCGGCUCUCUGGUCUGUAACUGACGCUGAGGCUCGAAAGCGUGGGGAGCGAACAGG
RNAcentral lists this ribosomal RNA (429 nucleotides) under Bacteroidota bacterium. Its description in RNAcentral is "Bacteroidetes bacterium partial 16S ribosomal RNA". It matches the Rfam family "Bacterial small subunit ribosomal RNA", at positions 355 to 776 of the family's 1533-position model. Lineage: Bacteria; Pseudomonadati; Bacteroidota. The record is from RNAcentral.